Molecule: unclassified non-coding RNA, 261 nt
Filed under: Hevea brasiliensis (rubber tree)
Lineage: Eukaryota; Viridiplantae; Streptophyta; Magnoliopsida; Malpighiales; Euphorbiaceae
Source: RNAcentral
AGUUUUAGCUUCCUGAGAGGAAGUACGGCAUUUUUUGUUUCCAGGAAAGGCAUUACAAGAUAUGUCUAUGAGGGCCUUGACACUAUAUGGUUUAUGCAUAGAAAACCCUGGUAGUGGAAGGAUGAGCAACCAAAACUACCAGUUAUACAUUAAUUGAAAUGUUUACCUUCCUGGGAGGAAGGACCACAUUUUUGUUUCCAGGAAAGGCAUUAUGAGAUAUGUCUACGAGGGCCUUGAAACUAUACGGUUCAUGCAUAGAUA